RNAcentral lists this ribosomal RNA (259 nucleotides) under Heterosigma akashiwo. RNAcentral describes it as "partial Bacterial large subunit ribosomal RNA". It matches the Rfam family "Bacterial large subunit ribosomal RNA", at positions 408 to 669 of the family's 2925-position model. Lineage: Eukaryota; Raphidophyceae; Chattonellales; Chattonellaceae. The record is from RNAcentral.
UUAAGUAGGGCGGGACACGUGAAAUCCUGUCUGAAGAUCGGAGGACCACCUUCGAAGGCUAAGUACUCCUUACUGACCGAUAGCGAACCAGUACCGUGAGGGAAAGGUGAAAAGCACCCCGACGAGGGGAGUGAAACAGUACCUGAAACCGAACGCCUACAAUCAGUUGGAGGGCCCAUGCGGCCUGACAGCGUACCUUUUGUAUAAUGGGUCAUCGACUUAGUGUAUCUAGCAAGCUUAAGCCGUUAGGUGUAGGCGC